RNAcentral lists this ribosomal RNA (446 nucleotides) under uncultured prokaryote. RNAcentral describes it as "bacterial SSU rRNA". It matches the Rfam family "Bacterial small subunit ribosomal RNA", at positions 355 to 796 of the family's 1533-position model. The record is from RNAcentral.
UGGGGAAUUUUCCGCAAUGGGCGCAAGUCUGACGGAGCGACGCCGCGUGCGGGAUGAAGGCCCUCGGGUUGUAAACCGCUGUCAGUUGGGAGGAAAUGCUAUGGGGCACUCUCCAUAGUUUGACCGAUCUUCAGAGGAAGUCCGGGCUAAGUUCGUGCCAGCAGCCGCGGUAAGACGAACCGGACGAACGUUAUUCGGAAUCACUGGGCUUAAAGAGUGCGUAGGCGGCUUUGUAGGUUGGGUGUGAAAUCCCCCAGCUCAACUGGGGAACUGCGCUCAAAACCACAAGGCUUGAGGAAGGUAGAGGUAACCGGAACUGAUGGUGGAGCGGUGAAAUGCGUUGAUAUCAUCAGGAACACCGGUGGCGAAGGCGGCUUACUGGGCCUUUUCUGACGCUGAGGCACGAAAGCUAGGGUAGCGAACGGGAUUAGAUACCCGUGUAGUCC